Molecule: ribosomal RNA, 301 nt
Filed under: uncultured bacterium
Lineage: Bacteria
Description: partial 16S ribosomal RNA
Rfam family: Bacterial small subunit ribosomal RNA
Source: RNAcentral
CAGCAGCCGCGGUAACACGUAGGUGGCAAGCGUUGUCCGGAAUUAUUGGGCGUAAAGGGCUCGCAGGCUGUUUCUUAAGUCUGAUGUGAAAGCCCCCGGCUCAACCGGGGAGGGUCAUUGGAAACUGGGAAACUUGAGUGCAGAAGAGGAGAGUGGAAUUCCACGUGUAGCGGUGAAAUGUGUGGAGAUGUGGAGGAACACCAGUGGCGAAGGCGACUCUCUGGUCUGUAACUGACGCUGAGGAGCGAAAGCGUGGGGAGCGAACAGGAUUAGAUACCCCCGUAGUCCCUGUCUCUUAUAC